RNAcentral lists this ribosomal RNA (497 nucleotides) under uncultured bacterium. RNAcentral describes it as "partial 16S ribosomal RNA". It matches the Rfam family "Bacterial small subunit ribosomal RNA", at positions 28 to 507 of the family's 1533-position model. The record is from RNAcentral.
GACGAACGCUGGCGGCGUGCCUAAUACAUGCAAGUUGAGCGCUGAAGGUUGGUACUUGUACCAACUGGGUGAGCAGCGGACGGGUGAGUAACGCGUGGGGAAUCUGCCUUUGAGCGGGGGACAACAUUUGGAAACGAAUGCUAAUACCGCAUAAAAACUUUAAACACAAGUUUUAAGUUUGAAAGAUGCAAUUGCAUCACUCAAAGAUGAUCCCGCGUUGUAUUAGCUAGUUGGUGAGGUAAAGGCUCACCAAGGCGAUGAUACAUAGCCGACCUGAGAGGGUGAUCGGCCACAUUGGGAAUGAGACACGGGCCAAACUCCUACGGGAGGCAGCAGUAGGGAAUUUUCGGCAAUGGACGAAAGUCUGAACGAGCAACGCCGCGUGAGUGAAGAAGGUUUUCGGAUCGUAAAACUCUGUUGGUAGGGAAGAACGUUGGUGAGAGUGGAAAGCUCAUAAAGUGACGGUAACUACCCAGAAAGGGACGGCUAACUACGUG